AUUGAACGCUGGCGGCAUGCUUUACACAUGCAAGUCGAACGGCAGCACGGACUUCGGUCUGGUGGCGAGUGGCGAACGGGUGAGUAAUACAUCGGAACGUGCCCAGUUGUGGGGGAUAACUACUCGAAAGAGUAGCUAAUACCGCAUGAGAACUGAGGUUGAAAGCAGGGGAUCGUAAGACCUUGCGCAACUGGAGCGGCCGAUGGCAGAUUAGGUAGUUGGUGGGAUAAAAGCUUACCAAGCCGACGAUCUGUAGCUGGUCUGAGAGGACGACCAGCCACACUGGGACUGAGACACGGCCCAGACUCCUACGGGAGGCAGCAGUGGGGAAUUUUGGACAAUGGGCGAAAGCCUGAUCCAGCAAUGCCGCGUGCAGGAUGAAGGCCUUCGGGUUGUAAACUGCGUUUGUACGGAACGAAAAACUUCGGGUUAAUACCCUGGAGUCAUGACGGUACCGUAAGAAUAAGCACCGGCUAACUACGUGCCAGCAGCCGCAGUAA
RNAcentral lists this ribosomal RNA (500 nucleotides) under uncultured bacterium. RNAcentral's name for it is "partial 16S ribosomal RNA". It matches the Rfam family "Bacterial small subunit ribosomal RNA", at positions 30 to 523 of the family's 1533-position model. The record is from RNAcentral.